Molecule: non-coding RNA, 438 nt
Organism: Catharus ustulatus (Swainson's thrush)
Lineage: Eukaryota; Metazoa; Chordata; Aves; Passeriformes; Turdidae
Source: the annotation of a RefSeq genome assembly
CGGGCGGCCGUGACCCUGCUGGAGUGCGGGGGGGACCUCCAGCCCCCCGGGGGGUCCCUGACUCUGCUCUGCCGCGGGAAUGGGUUCGAUUUCGGGAGUUACAACAUGAUGUGGGCCCGUCAGAGCCCCGGGAAAGGGCUGGAAUACGUCGCAGAGAUCAACGGUGGUGGCAGCAGCACCAACUACUCGCCGUCAGUCAAGGGCCGGUUCUCGAUCUCCAGGGACAACGGGCAGAGCUCAGUGACGCUGACCAUGAACAGCCUCAAGGACGAGGAUUCCGCCGUUUAUUUCUGCAUCAAGAAUAGUGGCACUAGUUGUUGUUACGGUGCUUAUGUUAUUUUGGCGCUCAUCACGGCCCCCAGUGUCCCCUGCAUGUUUGGGUCUCAAACCUCAACCAUGGCCCCAAAUGUCAACCCUUUGGGCACCUGUGGGGGCUAA